This is an RNA transcript of Cyanidioschyzon merolae strain 10D, 1599 nucleotides long. RefSeq lists it as hypothetical. NCBI's taxonomy places the organism in Eukaryota, Rhodophyta, Bangiophyceae, Cyanidiales, Cyanidiaceae. The transcript has a single exon. The record is from RefSeq and is a predicted model, not a curated record.
GUGGAAGCUACCGCGCAUGCUUACAGACCGUGCCUCGUAGAGAGGGUAUGUUGUUGCGGCCUCUUUGGUUGCAGAGGGGCUCGUUCGUCGGCCUCGCAGGUUGAUAUCCGUACAUCAGCAUACGUUUCAAAGUUUACGUCGGAAACGGCACUGCUAGAAAGGUUUCUCUCUCGUGAAGAGCCGCAGGACUAGUACCGACACUGCAGCCUCUUCCCAGACUCCGGGGCCGCUGCGUACUCGAGCGGGUCCAGGAACUGUGCGCCGUUUUUGGAGACAACUGCGUCAGUGACUGGACACCAACUGGGAGCUGCUGAGAACAUGCACUGAGUUGCAGCGUGCGCUGCUCAGCCUGCGCUGGACAGGCAGGCGACCUUGCUUCGACGCUGCCGGCGCCUUCUCGAGGCCGCCUUCCAGGACAUCUAGUGGACCGGCCUGCAGCAUUAGCGUUGCUUUGAGGACACGUGUGUAUGCAAGUAUGCACCAGCCAGUUGGAGCGCUGGUUCGCUGCUGAUGGACGAAGGCUGCGCACUAGUCGCAGUUGUCACGCGGAAAGCUUUCAUGAGCUUUCUCGCACGGCGCGCUCCGAAAGCCGCGUCAUCAUAGGCAUCCAUUCCGCGGAUGCACCUGCCGAGGACACGAUUCGGAAGCCAGCGUCGCCUUUGCGCUUGCUGAUGCUGCUAACUCUGCCGAGCAGUGUGCGAUGUGGCAUCGCUGCUUUCUGCAAACGAACCUAGAACGCAUUCUACGCUGCAUCGACGCCCGAGAUGCAUACUCGGAACCGCGCGCUCGCGAAUACUUGAUCUCUCUUGGUAGGUUCGUUACGAGACGCGAGGUCUUGUCUCUGGAGCAGGUCCAUCUUGUGUUGCGCUCACGAGGCUACCGAGCGGAAACUUCUGCGGAUCGAGCGAUUCCGCGGUGCUCGGUACCGUUUCCAGGCCUGUGCACCUCGGCCGCCACGCGCGGCAACUGGGACCUCUCGGAUGAGCGAAUGCUAGCCCGGGGUAUCGCUCUGGUUGCCGAGUUUCUCCAGCGUGUCGCUUUGCAUCGCUGUCGGGUCGCUUACGUGAGCUACCUGUCGUUACCCAGACCGAUAUCGAGCCCCGAGCCCGCGUCGAGUACGCUGCACCUCGAAUGGAUGCGCGUAAAGGUGCUGCGAAGUCGUCGUAUCGCCAGGGCAGUGACAGCAGCGAUGCAGAUAGGAUUGCGCUAUGCACGAAACCCGUGGAUGCAUACCUCGUCCGGUCUUGUAUUCCCUAGCAGAGUGCUGUUCUGAAAGUGAUGCAACCUGGGUGUUAACGUGUCAGCGCUGAAGUACAUAGCCUCAUCGAUGGCGCCUGAUUUGCCGCAUCGAUCCCUGACCACCUGGGUCGCGGGCGUGCAGCGCCUCGUUCGACCAGAUGCAUAUGCACCUUGAGACACAACAAUAUCGACAAACAUGUACCGUGCGAUUCACGAGCGGGACUUUGACAUAUUGCAGCGUCCCCGGUGCGCGGUCUGCGACAGCGGCAUGCGGCAUGUGAGCGCUACCGCUGGCGUCGCAAACGUGCCCGCCGAGAACCCGAAGCACAACUAGAGCCGCGUUGGAUUAAAGUGGGACAG